Long non-coding RNA from Nerophis lumbriciformis (worm pipefish), 464 nucleotides. RefSeq lists it as uncharacterized. NCBI's taxonomy places the organism in Eukaryota, Metazoa, Chordata, Actinopteri, Syngnathiformes, Syngnathidae. The record is from RefSeq and is a predicted model, not a curated record.
GCAUGGAGGACAAACAGUUUUGGAGCGUGUGGUGUGUGGUCAGGUCUCGCUGCUGUGACAAUGUCAUUCAAGAAGUGGACAUUCAAUCAUUUGCAGGCGUCAAAGUGGUCAACACAGUCGUCCUCAGUAUCAGCCCAAAGACUAGUAGAACAUCUUAGGUGUAUUGCUGCCCUCCACAUGCUAUUAACAGAAUGUCCUCCUUCUGUCCUAUGGCCCACACUACAGACUUGGACACAAGAGGUCAAAAGAAAAUGUAUGCAUUCUUUCUAACGGCCGCUGGGUGGCAGCAGAGGCUCCAUGUAUUACCUGAAGAAACAUUUGACUUCUGACCUUUCCACAUUAUUUAUCUCAUCUUUACUGCUGGAGUUCAGCUCACUGAGGAUGUUAGCUCCAUUUUGGUAUUUUAAUUAUCUUGAAUUAUUCAUAAACAGGCUUAAAACAAACCAUUAUUGUCAUUACUGCCU